GCACCGGUAGUAUAAUGGCCAGUAUUCCGGCCUUCCAAGCCGGCUGUCCGGGUUCGAAUCCCGGCCGGUGCA
RNAcentral lists this transfer RNA (72 nucleotides) under Nanobdellota archaeon. Its description in RNAcentral is "tRNA-Gly". It matches the Rfam family "tRNA". Rfam says of the family: Transfer RNA (tRNA) molecules are approximately 80 nucleotides in length. Their secondary structure includes four short double-helical elements and three loops (D, anti-codon, and T loops). The record is from RNAcentral. Lineage: Archaea; Nanobdellati; Nanobdellota.